GGUAAUAUAUGUUUGGUAGGCAUCAAUGCAAAUAAUCAGUCAGGAACAUAAACAUGGUUGAUGUAAAGCCAUAGCAAUCGAUUAUGGUUGAUAGCUGAAUGCUCCUGCACACAUUUGUAGCGUUUUUUUGCAGAACAAUUUACAUUGGCUGCAAGUGUUGAUGAAACUUGUUAAGACACAAUAUUUAAUAUUUAAAUCUCUACAUACGAGGUAUUUAUAUAUUAAAUGAUAAUUAAAAUAAUUUUAUAAGUUAUAAAAUUUAUUAUCCAAUAAAUCAAUAACACAUAACAUGAAUGACAUAUAAUAUUAAAACUCAAAUAUUAAGAUUUCUAAUAUUAUUAUUAUUGUUAUUAUUUUAACUAAAUUAGAUGUAAUUUGUAUAUAUAUUGUCUUUAAUGAGAGCAUAAAUCCUCGUCUGGAGUUGUGCAUCUCAUAAGCUGCUAAAAUGUGUUUUAAGAUCGAGGAGGAGGAAACUCACUUAACAAUAUGCAACGCCCGAUCAAUAAUAUAUCCAGUACCACUACCAGCAGUGGUGAUAGUGCACGUGACAUCAUUAUUCACUCGGCGCACGAUGAUGGGCCCCCCCGCUCACUCGAUCAAGAAUCAAGAUCACGAGCACACCUGACCUGAGGCUGAAAGUUGGUGGUGGCUUGAAUUGCGGUCAUGCCACACAGAAUCUAGAAUAUGCUUAAAGGCCCGGAUAGAUCGUGCCAUCAUAUGAAGAGCAAUCAAGAAUCGGUGCUUUUUAUCUAACCUACAUAAGAAAAUGGGGGCGUUACUUAGGGAUAGAUAGAUGGGGAGAGGCUUUCAGGGGUUCUAUCUAUGCACUGGUCGGCACUUAGUAUGGGCUUUCACUAUCAAAAUGAGAUAAUGGGCCAACAACCCAAAUACGUUGGUAGAAUAUUUUAACUCCUGGAGUGCUAUACUUAUAAAAUUGAGAGACUUGAUAAUAUACAAUAUACAUAUUGCAACAAUGAUAUCGUGCGUG
This 988-nucleotide long non-coding RNA is filed under the name Citrus maxima (pomelo). Its description in RNAcentral is "long non-coding RNA (CMAX_LNC002119)". Lineage: Eukaryota; Viridiplantae; Streptophyta; Magnoliopsida; Sapindales; Rutaceae. The record is from RNAcentral.